This 77-nucleotide transfer RNA is filed under the name Martelella mediterranea. Its description in RNAcentral is "tRNA-Arg". It matches the Rfam family "tRNA". From Rfam's summary of the family: Transfer RNA (tRNA) molecules are approximately 80 nucleotides in length. Their secondary structure includes four short double-helical elements and three loops (D, anti-codon, and T loops). Further hydrogen bonds mediate the characteristic L-shaped molecular structure. tRNAs have two regions of fundamental functional importance: the anti-codon, which is responsible for specific mRNA codon recognition, and the 3' end, to which the tRNAs corresponding amino acid is attached (by aminoacyl-tRNA synthetases). tRNAs cope with the degeneracy of the genetic code in two manners: having more than one tRNA (with a specific anti-codon) for a particular amino acid; and 'wobble' base-pairing, i.e. permitting non-standard base-pairing at the 3rd anti-codon position. Lineage: Bacteria; Pseudomonadati; Pseudomonadota; Alphaproteobacteria; Hyphomicrobiales; Aurantimonadaceae. The record is from RNAcentral. RNAcentral also lists the same sequence under 15 other names.
GCGCCCGUAGCUCAGCUGGAUAGAGUGUUGGAUUCCGAUUCCAAAGGUCACAGGUUCGAAUCCUGUCGGGCGCGCCA